UACGUAGGGGGCGAGCGUUGUCCGGAAUCAUUGGGCGUAAAGAGCGCGUAGGCGGCUUGGCAAGUCUGACGUGAAAGCCCGCGGCUCAACCGCGGAUUGUCGUUGGAAACUGCCUCGCUAGAGUCCGGAAGGGGAGAGCGGAAUUCCUGGUGUAGCGGUGGAAUGCGCAGAUAUCAGGAAGAACACCCGUGGCGAAGGCGGCUCUCUGGGACGGUACUGACGCUGAGACGCGAAAGCGUGGGGAGCGAACAGG
This 253-nucleotide ribosomal RNA is filed under the name uncultured bacterium. Its description in RNAcentral is "partial 16S ribosomal RNA". It matches the Rfam family "Bacterial small subunit ribosomal RNA", at positions 524 to 776 of the family's 1533-position model. The record is from RNAcentral.